This is a long non-coding RNA of Olea europaea var. sylvestris, 805 nucleotides long. RefSeq lists it as uncharacterized. Lineage: Eukaryota; Viridiplantae; Streptophyta; Magnoliopsida; Lamiales; Oleaceae. The transcript has 2 exons. The record is from RefSeq and is a predicted model, not a curated record.
AAUAUUUCACUCAAAUUCAAUUUCAACCAUAAUUCAUUUCUCUCUCUACCAUCUAUAUUUUCUCCCUUCUCUCUACCACAAAACACCACUGUCGCCAUCGGCAGUGGUGAUUCACGAUGGUGGUGAAGCUCUAAAGCAACCUUACCGAUGACUAUUCUGUUUAUUUUCUCUCUAUGGUGUAAGGCAGAGAUAGCGUCGUGAUAAUAUGGUGUGGUGUGCUACGCGUUUGGCCUUCCUCUGCCAUCUUUUCCUUAAUCUUUCUCUCAUAGUCUCACUUUCUUUGCGUGUUUUUUGAGUAUGGAUUAAAGGGUUUUUGUCUCCAAGAUUUUCUCAAAACUGCUGAAACAAAAGGAAGGCAAAGAGGCACAAAUAUUGCUUGCGUGUACUUACUUUCAUUUUCCUGCAAAACCAAAGAAAACACAAUGAAAUCAGGCAUGGAAUAAAUUUCUGCUGGAGAUCUAUGAAUGAUCAAUUCAGUGUCUUGGUGGGCGAUUUCGACGAGAGAAUCUGGACAGAUAAUUUUGAUUACAAUAGGAAAUAAGAUCUCGGUAGUUGAGUAGAACAUGUUUUGAUUACUGGACAGAUAACUUUGAUUACUGGCAGAGGCAGCAGUAGUUGAGUAGAACAUGUUUCAAAUGAUAAGAUCUCGGUCUCCCUGUUCGAGUUGAUGAUGAUGGUUUAGCAAAAUCUAAAUUCGUUGUUUCUGAUGAAUUUAUUAACCAAUGAUUUGUUUUACUGUAACUUCUUUUGAAAACAGAAAGGUUGAUUUAAAGGUAACUAAAGGGUCCGCCUCUUUAUCUUUUUC